UCUAGUGCAUCAAAACCAACUGUAAAAUAAAACUUAUAGACUCACUGCACAGACAACGCUUCUUUUUCUGGAGUCACUUCCUUCAGUAUUAGGAGUGUUUCAUAUAAGUUUAAUAAUGCUGCCAAUAAAAUAGAUAGCAGAAUAUUUGUCUUGCAGGACAUCUUGCAGCUUGGAAAGUCUCUGAAAUGUUCUUAUAUUUGAAUUUCCAUUUAUGUCAGCGUCACUUCUAUCAUUAGAGUAAGGAGGUAGAGAUGACAAUUUGAAAAAAAAAAUCUUUCUUAAAUAAAGUACUUCUACAUGACAAAGUGAUGAGCAUUCGCAGAGUUCAGCCAAAGCUCAAAAACAUUAAUGUCCAUUAAGUAAGUGGUGCUAAAAUUAGAACUUGUUACACUUUUCCAAUUCUUGGGAGAUUUUUCAUGAAAUUAAGUCUCACAUAUGUAUGGAAUAUACCUGUGAAUUCAUUUCAAGGUUAAAAUCUUUCUAUAACUGCUCAAAUAAAGAAAAUAAUUUAACCAUUGUUUAAACCCUGGUUUAAGCAUUUAACCAUGGUUUCACAAAACAGCAACAAAGAGGCUACAGCAAGAGAAUACACAUUCCUUAAUAUCAUUAUUAAUGAAAGGUCAAAUGUAGUUCAUGUCAGAUUUCCUGCCUGAGUGGAACUGAAGAAAGUGGGAUAUGUUUAUUCAUGAUUCUGGGUCCAGUAUAAUGUGUUUGUUUAAAAGAUAUACUCCAUCUUUAUGUAAAAAAACCCAAGUGUUUCUUUAAAAAAAAAAAAAGACAUUAUAUGAUAUUUCAUUAUAUAGAGGAGCCUAGUCCAGAAAACAUUAGUGGUAUUAAAUUCAUCACUGCCUCCCUGUUAUCUUUAAGCAGGAGGAUUAAAGCAGAAGAAAUAUAUUUUUUUCUGAGCCUUAUCUGCAGGUUCACAGGGAGAGGACUAUGGCAGCCUUAAUUAUAUUCACAAUGAACUCAGAGAAAUGUGGUUCAAGAGGUGAAAUUUUCACUAAAACAAUUACCCAUAUCUCCAUAUGCUAAUUCAUACACAGAUGCUGAGCGGUAGAAUGGGAGUUUCUAAAAUAUGUAUCAACAGUAUUUGAGUGUUAAUGAGCUUUCUGAAUACUUGUCAUAAGAAGUCAUGUACUCAGAAAUUUGAUAAAGUGACAGAGAGACCCAAUCAGACAGCAAACCUCCAAACUACAUUCAAAGCAUGACAUUUCCUCUGUGAUCUAUCCGAAUUACCCAUUAACCACAGCAAGUGAAAACAAUCUGACACCAAAUGUCAUCAGCAACAUGCAUAAAGGUCAUUAGCUUGUUAGUGUUAUACUCUAUACCUGUGCAAUAUAGGAUGCUAUUAUUUGCAUUACAUGCCACAAGAAGGGUGUUGUUGUUUUGUUGGCUUUUUUUUUUUUUUUAAAUGCCUUAUAGUGAAAUGGUACAUAACAAUAAAAUAUUUAAGGAGAUAUUAUGUGAAAGAGUAAAUACCCACUUUGGCUCUAUAGGACCAGUCACAUUAGAAUGGACUUGUAUUGCUAAUCUUAGGGAAACUGGCCACGCCCAAUGCAAUCUCCUAGGAUUAUGGAUUAACCCAUAGUUGACAGCACCUAGCCAUGUUCAAAUGGACUCAUACAACCACUCCCUCAAGGAGUUUGGCUGUGCACAAUGAGAACUCUCAGGACUAGCUUAUAGAAGCGAUCUUUAUUGGAGAAAUAAAUACAUUACAAAUUCUUUUGAAUAGCUGUUGAUAAAUACACAGUCUACAGAGCACAUAUGAGUAUCAAUAAUAUGAAGAAUAUGAGACUAACUGCAAAUGCAUUAAACUAUAGAAUAAUUCUGUUGAUUUCUAAGUUUCUGGGAGAAAUGCUCAGUAUAACUGAGUGUGUGAAUCUUACAUAAUAGGUUUCCCUAUGAGGGGAUAAGAGAGGCUCAGCUCGUUGACUGGUCCUGAAAGUCAGUAGUGUUCUCCUGAUUUGUCUGUGAUGGAAUCUUCUCUCAGAUUCCUUAACUCUUUAAGCCAUUUUUAUAUUAUUUUAUUACUACAAGGUGGAGCUUGAGUGACUGUAAUCAUAUCUAUCUUUGCUGCAAUUUGUAUGACAGAAAAUUGAAAAGCUGAUGACUCAGGGUGACUUCCCUGCAGUUUAACAGUUCCACAGUAUCACCAAGUUUCCAUCACUGCAAUCUACCUUAUCACAGAUUUUGGCCAUGGAGUUUUAUAUCUCACACUACCCUCUGAGCUGUAUCUACAGUCAGCAGAUCAAACUGCCCUGGUGCAGCUAACAGUCUAAGGUUUGCAAGACUGAUGUUGCUUGGGGGUCAAGGAAUCGACUUCUUGCAUAUUCACCGGAUUCCACUGAAGGUUUCUCCAGUGCUUUUCUUCUUUUAAGAGGUGAAUAUUGCAAUAAGUCACUUCUAAUAAUGACUCUACCAUAAUCCACCCCAUGACUACAGUCACUCAAGUUUCACAAUAUUUAGAAGGAACUGGGAAGAUUACAUGCAGCCUUGUUAUGAGAAUUAGAGCUCAAGGGGCUCUCGGACUGCUUACUAUUUAUGAGAUGUAAGUGAUUGAGUCAUAAUGUUAGUAUUCAGCAGAACAGUGUAAUCAGUUCUAAGCAAGGCCUUGGUCAUAAAGGCCAGGCUUAAGGAGAAGCAAGGGGGAGAAGACCAUCACAAGAGAGUAGCAUAUUUGGACAUUCAUUAAUCUGAAUAAUUUCCUUUGAGAAACUUCCUGUUUACUUGGCUGUCCUAUUUCUGGGUUGGCAACAAGGAAGCAAGGAGGGAAGGAAAGAAGUAGGUAUUAGGACAAUCUAAAAAGAUAUACUACUUGACAAGAUGAAGAAAAGUAAUUGUGUCCUUUUUGUAAAGGAAAACGAAGGUACAAAGAAGUUUCGUUUUCUUUGUAGAAUGAAGUUCAUCUAACAACUGCAUCAUACCAAACUGAAACAACAGGAAGCAACACCAUGAAGGAGAUAUGUUGAAGAAGAACAAUCAAUGAGCAAAGACAUCUUAAGUCCGCUUGAAAUACUGCUGGGCAGUGGAGCACCAAUUGCAGAGACAGAAGGGUAACUUGAGGACUGAAGAAAUAUGUACUCCUUUAGUCUAUACAUCAUAUAUUGCAAAAGGUAAUUGACAACCUCAUUCUGGUGUAAAUCAAAUUCUUGAGGACUCUAUAUGGAUAUGGAUGUUUACCAUGAGCUUAAUCACUAAGCAGUAAUUGCUUGUCUGUACUGACCAAAUAAAUCAAUUCCAUACAAUGGAAAAAUUAUGAAGAGAUCCUGGAUACUGAACUUAAAUAAACAUGAUUGAUCACCAGAAUUCUCUCAAAGCAACAUAAACAAUAUGAUUUCCAGACUGAUCUAAUGGAAGAAAAUUGCAAGCCAUAAUUCACUUUAAUUUCUGAUAGUGUAGAGUAAAUGGGAUACAUCAAAACAGAAAGCAAACUUUUCACCACAAAAGCAAACUUUUUACCAUACAAAUAAACUAUUACAUAACAUAACUGUGGUUACUAAUUGUCAGCACACAAAACAAUUUUAUCUAUUUAAAUAGUCAAGAAUAGCCCAGAAAAUCCUUCUCUAAGAUUUGUUUCCUGUUUUGUUUUGGUUUGGUUUGUUUUUUUGAUACUUCAAACAAGUGCUUAUAUCUGCAAGCAUCUUUGUGAACCACACAAAUUCAUUUCACAUUCAGUUUCCCAGAGAUAGACAUUUUCUGCCCUUUUUUUCAGGGAAGAUUCUAUAGAACUUCACUAUGCUUUAUCGAUCGCAAUGAUUUCCUUUCUUCCAACACCAUCCCAUAAUUCUAGAGGUUAAUUCUCUACCUUACGUAAAAAUACAUAUACUCUACAUAUACUCUACAUAUACGAUAUACUCUUUCUGUGUUUGAAAAACUGAGGUUUGCGGUGUAGUGAGGAAUUUAAAAGCUAAUGUUCUUCAUAUAAUUCCAUAGCUUCUAUCUUCAUAUAAUUUUGUAUUGCACAUUACUACUAUGAUACAUACACUGUUUUCAGCUACAAAGGAUUUCACAUAUUGGUAAAGUAGUCUUAAAUGGAGAUAAUAUUAAAUGCAUCUCAUUCAGUCACUGCUUGCGAGUUGAUACAAUUUAUUUACGUUACAUAAUUACACUGGAACUUGAUACCUCCUAAGAAUUUUAAAGCUGAGAAUAAGUAAUUAAAAAAAACCAAACAAGCAAAAACUGGACUAAUGGAAAAUAAGUUAAUUGACAAUUGAGAUCAUGAAGUUCUUGAAUUAUAAAUCAUAGAAAUCUGGGAAAGAAUAGUGAAAAAAAGCUACUAUUUGAACGCUACACCCACAUUCAUACUACCUUGCUGCACAGAUCUUUCUGGGAUAUUCUGGGACCUCAUGCCCCAAGGCAAUCAGAGCUGCUGUAGUUGGGUUGCAGCUACAGAGAUUCUCAUGUGCUAAGGCAUUUAACCACAAGGAAAAGUAUGAUGAAAUUAAAGAUCUUAUUUUUUGGUUAAGAGGUAGUGCUUCCUGAAAUUACCUGUUCCUUAUCCACAUUUCCCACUCAAAAACAUGACCUAUCCAGAAGCUUUUGCAGUAGAUCAAAACUCAGAUUUACUCAUGUUGCACAUACUACUGUGUUCAGGACAACUCUGAUGUAUCAGCCAUUCACACACUCAGCAAAGUUUUGAACAAGAGUGGCUUAUGUAGGUAGAAUGAUUCAAAUACACACAACUCAAAUCACAGAAUCACAGAAUGGUUAGGUUCGUUUAAUCACAAAAUUAAGCAUUUUUUUUUCUACAUAUAAGAUGUAAUAAGAGCCUGUGAUUACCUGUAACUGUUAAUUCCGUAGUUCUUCUCACAACAAAGAUGCCAUAUUUUACCUCACAAGUGUAAUUUCCAAUGUCAUCCUCUCUAACUUCCCGAAUGACAAGAGUGUCCUUUAUAAACCCAAUACUUGAUCUCCAUGUCUUUGACUUGCAUUCCUGUUUAAAGAUAACAUAACAAUUCAGUGACUAUGUUUUUACACUGUUCUUUCACUUACACUGAACACUCAAGCCACUGUUGAUAAUGCUGC
Meleagris gallopavo (turkey) is the source of this 5025-nucleotide non-coding RNA. The record is from RefSeq and is a predicted model, not a curated record. NCBI's taxonomy places the organism in Eukaryota, Metazoa, Chordata, Aves, Galliformes, Phasianidae.